Molecule: RNA transcript, 1918 nt
Organism: Alosa alosa (allis shad)
Lineage: Eukaryota; Metazoa; Chordata; Actinopteri; Clupeiformes; Clupeidae
Gene: fgl2a
Gene name: fibrinogen-like 2a
Exons: 3
Source: RefSeq, a predicted model, not a curated record
CACACACACUUCCCAAGCCAACACACAGCCCACACAGAUCUGAAACUUCUUGCUGUACGCAGUUUCACUUCCAGAGUUGCGCAAUACAGUAGAGCUCCUCCCCCCCGGUCCUGAUAUUUACCACAGCACCAUCACGGGUGCACACACACUUGCACUCUCUCUCUGUCCGCCUGGCCAGUGUGUGUGUGUGUGUGCGCAUCACACUCCUGCUCCAGUGUUUGCUACAGUGGGUUCUGUUGGGAAUCUUUGUUCCUGCCGGUUCUGUUGGGGAUCUCUGCUCUGUUCUGUGGUUCUCCAGCUCCCGUGUGGUUCCUGUGUGGUUCUUAUCGUGGUUCAUCCGGUUCAUCCUCUGUGUGGUUUCCUGUGCGGUUCCUGUGUGGUUCCUGUGCCAUGAGGCUGGUGUGGUGGUGUGUGUGUGUGGUGCUGCUGGUGUGUCUCAUGAGUGUGUGCAGUGAGGACGACCCCGAGGGCAGCUGCCCCGUGAGGCUGAAGGCGGUGGGGGGGUGCAGGCUGGAGGACAACGACUGCUCCGUCACGCUGGGGCUCCCCAAGCUCACACUGACGCUGCCGCGGCAGUGGGUCCAGCUGGAACGCGGCCUGAAGGAGCUGCAGAGCCUGCGGAGCGCCGUGGCCCAGCUGCAGCGGUGCUGUGGGGGGGCGCGGGGGGGGCGCGCACCAGACCAGGCCCAGCACGACCAGCCAGGGGAGGCCCACUCGCCCGGGGACACGCCCCAGACGCCGCCGCUGGCGGAGAUGCAGCAGAAGCUGAGCCGUGUGACGACGAGCCUGCGGAACGCUCGCGUGCAGAUCAGCGUGCUGCAGGGCCAGGUCGGCCAGCUGACCAACCAGAGCGCCCACUUCCUGGAGGCUGCCGCCGCCGCCAGCCGCUUCCACAACGCCACCUGCUCCACACACUGCCCAUCACACAGCGCCCCCCAGUUUAUGGUUGUCCCGCGGGACUGUUCCGAGUACAGCUUGCUGGGUCAGCGCUCCGACGGCAUCUACAAGGUGACCCCUGACCCCCGUAACGGCACGUUCUCGGUGUGGUGCGACAUGGAGUCGUACGGUGGAGGCUGGACGGUGAUCCAGCGGCGCCUCAACGGCAGCGUGAGCUUCAACCGCUCCUGGGCCGAGUACAAGCGGGGCUUCGGCGACCCGCGCGCCGAGCUCUGGCUGGGCAACGACCUGCUGCACCUGCUGACCAAGGCCAAGGACAUGGUGCUGCGCAUCGACCUGGAGGACGUGGACGGCGUGCGAGAGUACGCCAAGUACGAGCGCUUCUACGUGGCCAAUGAGCUGCUGCGCUACCGUCUGUCCGUCAGCGGCUACUCUGGUUCCGCCGGAGAUGCGCUGCACUUCAGCAAGCACUUCAACCACGACCAGAAGUUCUUCAGCACGCCGGACCGCGACAACGACAUGUACCCGUCGGGCAACUGCGGCGCCUACUACAGCUCGGGCUGGUGGUUCGACGCCUGCAUGUCUGCCAACCUCAACGGCAAGUACUACCACAAGCGCUACCAGGGCGUGCGCAACGGCAUCUUCUGGGGCACCUGGGCAAACCUGACGCGCGAGUACUACCCUACCAGCUACAGGCAGGCCUUUAGGACCGUCAAGAUGAUGAUCCGCCCCAAGAACUACGCCCCCUAAAGGCCUUUAGGACCGUCAAGAUGAUGAUCCGCCCCAAGAACUACGCCACCUAGAGGUACAUCAUUCCUACAGCUUGAAUGAAUCGCCUCUGACAACUUGGGUUGCUGUGGAAAAGGAGGGACUGGUUCGAUUUGGCCACUGCACCUGUAUGGCCGGGUCAGGUGAAGCGUGCUCACAUGUAGUGUACAUCAGGAAUCUGUAAGAGACUGUACAUGCACAGAAGUUGUUUGCAGACUACUGAUCUUAGUGUUUUGAAUUGGAGGUGCAGUGU